AGAGUUUGAUCCUGGCUCAGAAUGAACGUUGGCGGCGUGGAUUAGGCAUGCAAGUCGAGCGAGAACCCGCAAGGGGGACAGCGGCGAACGGGGUAGGAAUACGUAGGUAACGUACCCUCGGGGCGAGGACAGCCACGGGAAACUGUGGGUAAUACUCGAUAAACUUCCCAAUCAUUAUGGAAGGGGAAGCAAUGGGUGUGAUUCCACCUGAGGAGCGGCUUACGCAGUAUCAGCUAGUUGGUGAGGUAACGGCUCACCAAGGCUACGACGCUUAGGGGGUGUGAGAGCAUGGCCCCCACCACUGGCACUGAGACACUGGCCAGACACCUACGGGUGGCUGCAGUCGAGAAUCUUCGGCAAUGGACGCAAGUCUGACCGAGCGACGCCGCGUGUGGGAUGAAGGCCUUCGGGUUGUAAACCACUGUCAGAGGGGAUGAAGUGUACGAGAGUUAUCUCUUGUAUUUGACAGAGCCUCAGAGGAAGCACGGGCUAAGUUCGUG
This 500-nucleotide ribosomal RNA is filed under the name uncultured bacterium. RNAcentral's name for it is "bacterial SSU rRNA". It matches the Rfam family "Bacterial small subunit ribosomal RNA", at positions 8 to 507 of the family's 1533-position model. The record is from RNAcentral.